GCUUGUUGGUGGGGUAAUGGCCCACCAAGGCGACGAUGGUUAGCUGGUCUGAGAGGAUGAUCAGCCACACUGGAACUGACACGCGGGCCAGACUCCUACGGGAAGCAGCAGUGAGGAAUUUGCGCAAUGGGGGAACCCUGACGCACAACGCCGCGUAGAGUGAUGAAGGCUUACGGGUCGUACAGCUCUGUUGGGUGAGAAGAACCCGUUUUUGUGAACAAUACCACAAAGCGCUGACGGUACCACUUGAGGAAGCACCGGCUACCUCCGUGCCAGCAGCCGCGGUAAUACGGAGGGGAGCAAGCGUAAUACGGAAUUAUUGGGCGUAAAGCGCGCGUAGGCGGGACGGUAAGUCAGCUGUGAAAGCCCAUGGUUCAACCAUGGAAGUGCAGUUGAUACUAUCGAACUUGCGUAUGGGAGAGGGCACGCGGAAUCCAUGGUGUAGCGGUGACAUGCGGAGAUUAUCAGGAGGAACACCGGGGGACGAAGGCGGGUUCCUGGACCCAUUAUUGCCGCUCAGGCGCGAAAGGCGUGGGGAGCAAAACAGGAUUAGAUACCCUGCUAGUCCACGCAGUAAACGGUGAUCACUUAGGUGUAGCGGGUAUGGACCCCUUCUGUCCCGCAGUCAACGCAUUAAGUGAUCCCGCCUGGGGAGUACGGCCGCAAGGUUAAGACUCAAAGGAAUUGACGGGGGCCCGCACAAGCGGUGGAGCAUGUGGUUUAAUUCGACGCAACGCGAAGAACCUUACCUGGGCUUGACAUCCCGGGAAUUUCCCGGAAACAGGAAAGUGCCCUCCGGGGAGCCUGGUGACAGGUGCUGCAUGGCUGUCGUCAGCUCGUGUCGUGAGAUGUUGGGUUAAGUCCCGCAACGAGCGCAACCCUUAUCUUCAGUUACCAGCAUUUCGGGUGGGGACUCUGAAGAUACUGCCCCGGUCAACGGGGAGGAAGGUGGGGAUGACGUCAAGUCCUCAUGGCCUUUAUGCCCAGGGCUACACACGUGCUACAAUGGACGGUACAAAGGGUCGCUACCUCGCGAGAGCCAGCCAAUCCCAAAAAGCCGUCCUCAGUUCGGAUCGGAGUCUGCAACUCGACUCCGUGAAGUCGGAAUCGCUAGUAAUCGCGGAUCAGCAUGCCGCGCUGAAUACGUUCCCGGGCCUUGUACACACCGCCCGUCACACCAUGAGAGUUGUUGUACCCGAAGUUGCCGGGC
This 1210-nucleotide ribosomal RNA is filed under the name uncultured organism. RNAcentral describes it as "bacterial SSU rRNA". It matches the Rfam family "Bacterial small subunit ribosomal RNA", at positions 244 to 1435 of the family's 1533-position model. The record is from RNAcentral.